Long non-coding RNA from Teleopsis dalmanni, 387 nucleotides. RefSeq lists it as uncharacterized. The record is from RefSeq and is a predicted model, not a curated record. NCBI's taxonomy places the organism in Eukaryota, Metazoa, Arthropoda, Insecta, Diptera, Diopsidae. The transcript has 3 exons.
UUUCAUAUAUUUUUAAUAUAUGAAAUUUGUUUGUUUUUUAUUUUUAUUUUGUGCUAAUAUAUCUUUCAGCACUUUGAGCCAGAUUUAUUACUUGUCUUACUGCUAUUGGGGUUUGCGCCAAGUUCCCAUUCUCGAAGUUGUUAGAUAUUAGUUCCACAUUUGUUUUUCGCACUACCAACCGUAUGCGUUACAUAUUCCUACUGAUUUUUAUACAAACAUGUAUACAUAGAUACAAAAUAUGUAUUUUAAAAAUAUGCAGGUUUCAACCAGUCGAAUGGACUGAACAGUUUCAGGCUGUGAUGAAGGCUUCCUUUCACUUCCAAUCCAACGCUUCCAUAUCACAAUAAAUAUCAAGAGUUAAUUUCAACAAAUAUGCAAUAAACCUUC